AGGUCUGUAUCUGGUAUAGCUGAAGCAGCAGCAGGACUACUCUUCACAUUCAACUGAUUGGUCUCCUCAGCAUUUGCAGAUGAACUAUCAAUAACCGGUAAAUCAAUAGUAGCACCUCCAGGACAGAUGCGCAUUGAAAGAACUUGUAGGCAGAGCUGCUCAAUCUUAGAAGUUCCCUUGAGGUCUCCGGCAGUCAAUAAUUCAGCUUUUUCAUGAGUUAAGUUUGAUAUCACUAGAGGUUGGCUCUUGCGGAGAGCCUGCUCAGUCAAAGUGUUUAGUACUUUUUGCUGGCGUAGUAGAGCCCUAAAUUCCUCUACUUCUGCACACUGGUCUGGUGGUGAGCUACUGGCUUCAUCCUUGUCGUCCAAGAGGCUUUCAAUCUGAAUCCCCUGCAAUAAAGGAACUCCAAAUGUUGAA
This 417-nucleotide small RNA is filed under the name Oryza sativa Japonica Group (Japanese rice). Its description in RNAcentral is "sRNA Os01g0896350". The record is from RNAcentral. Lineage: Eukaryota; Viridiplantae; Streptophyta; Magnoliopsida; Poales; Poaceae.